RNAcentral lists this ribosomal RNA (896 nucleotides) under Verruciconidia persicina. RNAcentral's name for it is "LSU rRNA". It matches the Rfam family "Eukaryotic large subunit ribosomal RNA", at positions 36 to 963 of the family's 3401-position model. The record is from RNAcentral. Lineage: Eukaryota; Fungi; Ascomycota; Sordariomycetes; Hypocreales; Bionectriaceae.
UAGCAUAUCAAUAAGCGGAGGAAAAGAAAACCCAACAGGGAUUGCCUCAGUAACGGCGAGUGAAGCGGCAACAGCUCAAAUUUGAAAUCUGGCCCUAGGCCCGAGUUGUAAUUUGCAGAGGAUGUUUCUGGCGAGGUGCCUUCCGAGUUCCCUGGAACGGGACGCCAUAGAGGGUGAGAGCCCCGUACGGUUGGUCGCUAAGCCUCUGUGAAACUCCUUCGACGAGUCGAGUAGUUUGGGAAUGCUGCUCUAAAUGGGAGGUAUACGUCUUCUAAAGCUAAAUACCGGCCAGAGACCGAUAGCGCACAAGUAGAGUGAUCGAAAGAUGAAAAGCACUUUGAAAAGAGGGUUAAAUAGUACGUGAAAUUGUUGAAAGGGAAGCGCUUAUGACCAGACUUGGACCGGUUGAUCAUCCAUCGUUCUCGGUGGUGCACUCUGCCGGUUCAGGCCAGCAUCAGUUUGUCCCGGGGGAUAAAGGCUUUGGGAAUGUGGCUCCUCCGGGAGUGUUAUAGCCCACUGUGUAAUACCCUGGGAUAGACUGAGGUUCGCGCUCCGCAAGGAUGCUGGCGUAAUGGUCAUCAGUGACCCGUCUUGAAACACGGACCAAGGAGUCGUCUUCGUAUGCGAGUGUUCGGGUGUCAAACCCCUACGCGUAAUGAAAGUGAACGUAGGAGAGAGCUUCGGCGCAUCUCCGACCGAUCCUGAUGUUCUCGGAUGGAUUUGAGUAAGAGCAUACGGGGCCGGACCCGAAAGAAGGUGAACUAUGCUUGUAUAGGGUGAAGCCAGAGGAAACUCUGGUGGAGGCUCGCAGCGGUUCUGACGUGCAAAUCGAUCGUCAAAUAUGAGCAUGGGGGGCGAAAGACUAAUCGAACCUUCUAGUAGCUGGGUUUCCGCCG